CCGCUAUUCAUUCGGUUACGGCCCUGCUACGACCCUCCUGCCUGGGGAAGACUUCCAUCUGCUACCCACCUGCCGGAUGAAAAGGCGAUUCCUUUGUUCUGCUUUGAGCCGAGAACCUUCCGGCUUCAGGCUUCAGCCCCUGACCUCCGAGAGCAAGGGAUUGCAAAACCGAACGUUUCUCUCCCCACUUCGUCCAGUUUAAAAAUCGCCGCAGAAGAGCGGAGCCAAAUGAGUCGUGUUUUAACAUGCAGAGCGAUUUCUCAUCCCAAUAAUUGGUACAUUGUCAUCUAAAAUUGCACCGAGGAUGAUCACAAUUAGUGAAACGAAGGCAGCGCUGAUGCGUGUCGGGUUCUUAUCUGUCCUGCCUGGCUGUCCAUCACAUCCCAGAUUGCAGAUGGCAGGCAGCCGAUGGAAGACACGCUUCCUGCGUGGAAGCGUGACUCAGUAUUAAACGCUCCUCCUUGCUCAA
Ornithorhynchus anatinus (platypus) is the source of this 469-nucleotide long non-coding RNA. RefSeq lists it as uncharacterized. The transcript is spliced from 2 exons. The record is from RefSeq and is a predicted model, not a curated record. Lineage: Eukaryota; Metazoa; Chordata; Mammalia; Monotremata; Ornithorhynchidae.